UUAAUUUGGCAUGUUUUCAAAGAUAAUGAAGGCGGAAAAAUUAUUAGAAAACAUUUAAUUAUAAUUUCACUAAGUUUGCUGAUACUUUGUUCGCUAUCACUUUUAUAUCUUUGAAUAAUUUAAGCGAAAUAUUAGUAAUUUUUUUAAAGCAAAUUUGACGGAAAUUUUAUAAGAAAAAAUCCGUUGUACUAAUUUGGUUCAACCCUUUUGAAUGUUUCAAGGUCGAACUUUUUUUGGAGGUUCCAGAGUCUAGCUCAUAAAACAAUCUAAAUAUAUAUAUAUAAGUGCUGCAACUUAUAAAUUGUAUAUCGAUUAGGGUUGUUUUAAUGAUGUUUUGAUAAUUUUCAAGUUCAGUUUCCACAUUCUUGUGCCACAAAGAUCUUUAGACUUUAUUCAAUAUCACCCUCCCUCCCCACCUUCCUCGCCCGGUGAGACGUUUCAAAGUUUAUUCCAUAGUUCACGAUUGUUGUUAGAUUUUAAUUAAACAACACUCGAUACUUCUAGAUGUUAUCUACUUAUAUAAAUUUCUGGAAUGUUGAACUAACCUGCGAAAUCUUAUCACGUACCAGGUUAGUACGAUUACAUUUUAUCGGAUUGUUAAAAUUGACCUUGGUUGUUGCACUUUUUCUUCUCGGUUUUUCCAAGGACUUCUACUAAAAUUUCAUUAUUUAAGUAUUAUAAAGUCGUUCUAAAGUGUAAUAAUUUAUAGAAAAUCACGGAAAAAAAUCACCACCACUCCUAACCGUUCAAUCCGUUUUCUCAACUAAUAGGUCACGAAACGUUUUUUUCGAAGGGUCGAUAAGCGGAAGAGGUUGAGAAAUAUCGUUCUAAAUUAAGUAUAAUUCGGAAUUUUACGUGUAAGUUACGAAAGAAUCUCGAAAUGUAUCGUGUCCGGCACCGUUCUAGAUGUCUAUCAUUACGCCACUUUACUCGCUACGUAUCUAAAAAGUCGCUUUCAUUGGUUUAACUUGGUGCUUAUUUAUAAAUUAAACACGAGUAAUUAAUAUUGGAGAGAGAUUAAUCGAUGUUUCACGGAAUUUCCAUUGAUGGUUAUGGCUUAUGUAAGCGUAGAUGUUGCAAGACAUCACUUAAGCUCUGACUAAAAUAAAAUACAGUAGUUCGGUGUGCUUAGCGACAACGUUGGCAUUGUCUUCUCUCGACACUGUUAAAAUAAUAAUAAUAAUAAUAACUACUUGAUAAGCAUUCGGAUUACUAGGAUUAUUCGUUCUUUAAUUACGUGUAUUAUUAAAUAUGAAGUUUUAGCGUUUUUUUUUUUUUUCCUUUCUUAAAGUGCACGCCGAGAGUUCGUUCACUCCUGCUGUGUCGUCACAGUAACCGACCCUCUCGGUUUUGGUAGCGACUAAACCAGAAAUUCGAAUGAAAAACGUCACGGAAAUUUUGUUCGUCUCUUGUAUAAUUGAUACAAAUGACCUUGUUUGUAUGUCUAAUUAUUAAAUUGCAUUACUCGUUAAAAUAUACGUAAAAUUCUAAGUAAUGUUUCCUCACUUCGUAUAUAGAUUUAUAAGUCGUUUCUCAUAGUGCACGAACGAAUUUUUAGCAUAUUUUUGCCCAUUUAAAUGCUAAUUUUAGCCUUUUUUUAAAAAAAGUUGGCCCGCUUCUUUAUGCGCAUUUAAGCAUAGUUUUUAAGCGCAAAUUAUUUUGUUUAUCGGCUACGUCUAAGUAGUAACGUUUAAAGAAUUUUUGUUUUUCUAUUUUCCUUUUUGCUUUGUCUAGUGUGACGUUUCGUCCUGUUGUAAGUACACUUGCACUCGCAGGUGACGUCAUUCGAUACCAACGUGUCUGCUGGAACGGAUGGCUUCCUUCUAUUCUCGUAAUUUCUCUAUUGCUGGUUUUACCCAGGAUUGUUGCACUGUUCUUAGGCAAAACUUUAGGAAGAAGGAAUAUU
Molecule: long non-coding RNA, 1906 nt
Organism: Centruroides sculpturatus (bark scorpion)
Lineage: Eukaryota; Metazoa; Arthropoda; Arachnida; Scorpiones; Buthidae
Exons: 2
Source: RefSeq, a predicted model, not a curated record